Molecule: ribosomal RNA, 253 nt
Filed under: uncultured bacterium
Lineage: Bacteria
Description: partial 16S ribosomal RNA
Rfam family: Bacterial small subunit ribosomal RNA
Source: RNAcentral
UACGUAGGGGGCAAGCGUUGUCCGGAAUCAUUGGGCGUAAAGAGCGUGUAGGCGGCCAGAUAAGUCCGCUGUGAAAUCUCGAGGCUCAACUUCGAGCUGUCGGUGGAAACUGUCUGGCUAGAGUCCGGAAGAGGAGAAUGGAAUUCCUGGUGUAGCGGUGAAAUGCGCAGAUAUCAGGAAGAACACACGUGGCGAAGGCGGUUCUCUGGGACGGUACCGACGCUGAGACGCGAAAGCGUGGGGAGCGAACAGG